Molecule: ribosomal RNA, 190 nt
Filed under: Phytophthora plurivora
Lineage: Eukaryota; Oomycota; Peronosporomycetes; Peronosporales; Peronosporaceae
Description: partial 28S ribosomal RNA
Rfam family: Eukaryotic large subunit ribosomal RNA
Source: RNAcentral
UUGGACCUGAUAUCAGGCAAGAUUACCCGCUGAACUUAAGCAUAUCAAUAAGCGGAGGAAAAGAAACUAACAAGGAUUCCCCUAGUAACGGCGAGUGAAGCGGGAAGAGCUCAAGCUUAAAAUCUCCGUGCAAGUUUUGCGCGGCGAAUUGUAGUCUAUAGAGGCGUGGUCAGCGUGGGCGCUUGGGGCA